Molecule: ribosomal RNA, 498 nt
Filed under: uncultured bacterium
Lineage: Bacteria
Description: partial 16S ribosomal RNA
Rfam family: Bacterial small subunit ribosomal RNA
Source: RNAcentral
GAUGAACGCUGGCGGCGUGCCUAAUACAUGCAAGUCGAGCGAACAGACGAGGAGCUUGCUCCUCUGACGUUAGCGGCGGACGGGUGAGUAACACGUGGAUAACCUACCUAUAAGACUGGGAUAACUUCGGGAAACCGGAGCUAAUACCGGAUAAUAUAUUGAACCGCAUGGUUCAAUAGUGAAAGACGGUUUUGCUGUCACUUAUAGAUGGAUCCGCGCCGCAUUAGCUAGUUGGUAAGGUAACGGCUUACCAAGGCAACGAUGCGUAGCCGACCUGAGAGGGUGAUCGGCCACACUGGAACUGAGACACGGUCCAGACUCCUACGGGAGGCAGCAGUAGGGAAUCUUCCGCAAUGGGCGAAAGCUUGACGGAGCAACGCCGCGGGAGUGAUGAAGGUCUUCGGAUCGUAAAACUCUGUUAUUAGGGAAGAACAAAUGUGUAAGUAACUAUGCACGUCUUGACGGUACCUAAUCAGAAAGCCACGGCUAACUACGUGC